RNAcentral lists this ribosomal RNA (650 nucleotides) under uncultured Glomus. Its description in RNAcentral is "SSU rRNA". It matches the Rfam family "Eukaryotic small subunit ribosomal RNA", at positions 624 to 1276 of the family's 1831-position model. The record is from RNAcentral. Lineage: Eukaryota; Fungi; Glomeromycota; Glomeromycetes; Glomerales; Glomeraceae.
AAGCUCGUAGUUGAAUUUCGGGAUCAAAUUGUCGGUCGUGCCUCGGUACGUACUGGCGUUAUUGGUUCCUCCCUUCCGAAGAACCACGAUGUCAUUAAUUUGGUGUCGCGGGGAAUCAGGACUGUUACUUUGAAAAAAUUAGAGUGUUUAAAGCAGGCUCGCGCUUGAAUACAUUAGCAUGGAAUAAUGAAAUAGGACGUUUGAUUCUAUUUUGUUGGUUUCUAGGAUCGACGUAAUGAUUAAUAGGGAUAGUUGGGGGCAUUAGUAUUCAAUUGUCAGAGGUGAAAUUCUUGGAUUUAUUGAAGACUAACUACUGCGAAAGCAUUUGCCAAGGAUGUUUUCAUUAAUCAAGAACGAAAGUUAGGGGAUCGAAGACGAUCAGAUACCGUCGUAGUCUUAACCAUAAACUAUGCCGACUAGGGAUCGGAUGAUGUUAAUUUUUUAAUGACUCAUUCGGCGCCUUACGGGAAACCAAAGUGUUUGGGUUCCGGGGGGAGUAUGGUCGCAAGGCUGAAACUUAAAGGAAUUGACGGAAGGGCACCACCAGGGGUGGAGCCUGCGGCUUAAUUUGACUCAACACGGGGAAACUUACCAGGUCCAGACAUAGUAAGGAUUGACAGAUUGAGAGCUCUUUCUUGAUUCUAUGGGUG